CUGGAAGGGGUGGAGCCAGGCUCCCCCUCUCCUGGUCCCCAUUUAAGGGCUUACUGCCACAGAGUGAGGAUUUCUCUCUGGAGAUUGCUCCUCUUGAAGUCUUUUUCAGUAAGCCCAUGAUGAAAGUGGAGGUGAAGAAAUUAAUUCAGACAAUGGAGUUUAUUGUGACGAUGACCUGAAGAAUAGCUAUCAAUGCAGAUUUUCUGUUUUGAGGUAUUCUGGACAUGGCUGUAUUUUGCAUGUCAUGAAGAGGACUAAAACAGUGCAACAUGAAAUAUAAAAGUCUGAAUGUGAAAAGAAUGACAACCUCAAAUUUGAACAUUUUUCUACAGUGGAGAAAAUUCAAUUACUUUUCAAGACUUCGUCAAUCAAUUUGAUUGAGACAUACUUGUACUUCUGUUUAACUGCUUUUUUAGAAGCAUUUACAUAGCUGAAUUUUUCAAGAACAUGAUUUCAAGGAAGGUCAGAUUUUAAGUUCACUUUUGUUUGAAAUCUACAUUGAUAUCAAAUGAAACUUCUAAAUAACAGAGGUCAAAUUUUCAACCUUUGCUUUCAUAUAUUUAUUCUUUUUAAAUUAUAAAGAAAUGAAUGUAGUAUGAUGCUUUCUUACUGAAUAAUAUUAUACUCCUAGAGUCCAUCUAAAACCAAAUGACAGUUUUAAUGUCACACUCUUUCUCCUCAGAUACUAAGAUUAAAAACCUGUCGUCUUUACUUACUAUGAGACAAUUUCCCUUUACGUGCAAGUUUGUGAAAGCUUAAUUCCAUCUGUUGCUUCAUAAGACAAUUCAAUACUGUAAAAAGUGUGUUUUUUAUAAGAUCAUUCCUUUUUAUAUUUUUAUGAUGGUAAGUGUAUGUGCUUAAUCUUCAAAAAAAAAUAUUCUAUGUGUGUCAAAAAUGUUUCAACAGUUACAAUUUAAAAUUUUUAUGUAUGUUGCUUUAAGAGUUGUGGAAAGAGAUUAAAAGAAUGUUAGGGAAGAAAGAAUUUUUUUUUUCCAAAUUAGAAUAUGUGUAACUUCAGAUAGCUUUCUCCUUGUCAACUGCUUGCUUUCACACAUAGUAAUACAAACUUAUUUAAAAUAUGGUCAUUAUUUUGGUAAUGAAGAAAAGAGGAGAUCCACCGGUUGUUUUUUCAUCAAACAAAUAUCACCACCUCCACACUUCAAAAUGCCAAGUGUCAUGUUAGAAGAUGACUGUAAAAUUUCAGAGAAAAUGUAGCAUUUAAUUUGAUUAAAGCACUUCAGUUUUUAACUUAAAGUAUGGGAAAACAAAGACAAUGCUUGUUUCCAGUUUGUCUAACAUAGUUUCCCUGAACAGAUUUAAUAUGUUUUGAAAUACACAGUCUCCAGAAUUGCUGAAUAACCUGUACUUCC
Molecule: long non-coding RNA, 1370 nt
Organism: Gallus gallus (chicken)
Lineage: Eukaryota; Metazoa; Chordata; Aves; Galliformes; Phasianidae
Source: Ensembl